This 436-nucleotide ribosomal RNA is filed under the name uncultured bacterium. RNAcentral's name for it is "partial 16S ribosomal RNA". It matches the Rfam family "Bacterial small subunit ribosomal RNA", at positions 29 to 507 of the family's 1533-position model. The record is from RNAcentral.
AACGAACGCUGGCGGCAUGCCUAACACAUGCAAGUCGAACGAGAUCCCUCGGGGUCUAGUGGCGCACGGGUGCGUAACGCGUGGGAAUCUGCCCUUAGGUUCGGAAUAACAGUUAGAAAUGACUGCUAAUACCGGAGGAUAACGUUAAGUCCAAAGAUUUAUCGCCUGAGGAUGAGCCCGCGUAGGAUUAGCUAGGUGGUGUGGUAAAGGCGCACCAAGGCGACGAUCCUUAGCUGGUCUGAGAGGAUGAUCAGCCACACUGGGACUGAGACACGGCCCAGACUGCUAGGGAGCGGAGGAGUGGAGAAUAUUGGACGAUGAGCGCAAAUGUGAUCCAGCAAUGUCGGGUGAGAGAUGCAUGCGUUAGGGUUGUAAAGCUGUCUUAGCCGAGAUGAUAAUGACAGUAUCGGGUGAAUAAGCCCCGGCUAACUACGUG